UACAAAAAAUGUAAAAAAUUAGCCAGGUAUGGUUACAAUUUAGUGGUGAACUCAUAAAGGGAUACCCCUCGUAGGCAUCUGCCUGUGGCUCGGUGACCUCUUAGCAUUUCAGAGGCCCGGAGAUGAGUCCAAGUGGCUGCCUGGCUUCUUUAAGCCAGGGGCUGUCUCUGGUGCCUCCCUUGCCAGCAAGGCAUUACCGACCUUCACAUAAGCUUGCUUGGAGUACAGAAACAGUUUCUGAAUCUGAAAGACUUCUCCGACCCUGAGUUGCAGUGAAACAGCUGAUGCCAACCAGUCAGAAGACCCUCAUAGAGGAAUGAAAUCAGCAUGAGAAUACAGCUUCUUCAUCAUCCUGUCCCAUUACUUCACCUUACACUCUGACCAAUCAACAAUCUCCACACUUCAGCCCAGUCCAAAACCCUUAAAAACUCUAGGCCCAAACUUCUCAGGGAGAUGGAUUUGAGGUUUUCUCUCAUCUCCUAGUUUGGUGACCCCCAGAUUAAACCUUUUUCUCUGCUGCAAAAAAAAAAAAAAAAAAA
This 539-nucleotide long non-coding RNA is filed under the name Homo sapiens (human). RNAcentral describes it as "HSALNT0296445". The record is from RNAcentral. Lineage: Eukaryota; Metazoa; Chordata; Mammalia; Primates; Hominidae.